This is a long non-coding RNA of Brachypodium distachyon (stiff brome), 3323 nucleotides long. RefSeq lists it as uncharacterized. The record is from RefSeq and is a predicted model, not a curated record. The transcript has 3 exons. NCBI's taxonomy places the organism in Eukaryota, Viridiplantae, Streptophyta, Magnoliopsida, Poales, Poaceae.
ACUCGUGAUUCGUGCAAAAAAGAGAAAAAAAGAGAGAGAGAAAAAACUUCCCCGUCUUCGCAUUCUGCUCCCCAAUCCUCAAUCCAGAUGAGCGAGGAGGGCGGCGGAACGACGCACCGCCGCGGCAGCUCGCCGCCGGCGGCGCCUGCCUCCCUGCCGGACGACGACGAUCUCCUCCGAGAAAUCCUCCUCCGCCUCCCGCCGCAGCCGUCCUCCCUGCCGCGCGCCUCCGCCGUCUGCAAGCGGUGGCGAGCCGUCGCCACCGACCCCAAGUUCCUCCAAUGCUUCCGAACCCACCACCGGAAGCCGCCCCUCCUCGGCUACCGCGUUCGGCGACAAGGAGGGGAUCGUGUUCAGGCCCACCCUGGACCCUCCCGACCGCAUCCCUCCUGAACGCUUCUCCCUUCGCGGCUGCAGCCGCCGCCGCGAGAACUAUGUGCUCGGGUGUCGCCGCGUCCUCGUCAAUUGACCGGCGCAGAAUGAGGUCGCUGUGUGCGAUCCCAUCUCCGGCGAGCAGCGCCGCGUGGCCGUUCCACCGGAGUUCAGGAUUGGCUUUCUCAACGGGGCUGUGCUCUGUGCCGCCGGCGACCAGGGUCAUGUGCACGGGGGCUGUCACUCGUGCCCCUUUAAGGUGGUCCUGCUGUCCAUGCCCGAAGAAGGCAAUCGACCCCUCGCCUGCGUUUACUCUUCGGAGACUGGCAUAUGGGGUGAUCUCAUCUCAACAGCUGCACCAUGUGAGCUUGAUGAUUCUAGCUGUCCUAGUACCCUUGUUGGCAAUGCCCUUUAUUGGCUGGAUGAGAGCAAUGGUAUGCUUGAGUUUGAUUUGGAUGGACAGGGCCUAUCUAUGAUCACGGGGCCAGCCCCCAUUACAGAUGAUUUCUGCCAUGAAAACAUUCAGAUAAUCCAGGCUGAGGAUGGCGUUGUUGGCUUGGCCGUAUUUUCUUACCCUAGCAUCCAAAUUUGGCACAGGAAGGUCAAUUGAGAGUGGUGUUGCCACAUGGUUGGUGCGCAAGACUGUCGACAUGCAUAAUAUUCUUGGGCUUCCUCCUCAGCUUGAUGAAUGGGAGACUGGGCUGGAAGCUAUACUGGGAUAUGCUGAGGAUACCGAUGACAUUCUUAUAUAUGUUCGCUCCAAUGUCUACAUGGUUCAGCUUAAGUCAAUGCAAAGCAAGAGACUUCAUGAAACCCAUCAUUUCAUGGACUACCAUCCUUUUAAAAGUUUUUAUACACCAGACCCUCCACCAAAGUAAUGAGUACCGGCAUGGGUGAGUGAGAGAUUGGCGUUGGACGUGAUUGACACAAGGGAGGAAAAGGGACCCCGGGGAGCACGCAAUGCGGCGCAUGGAGUCCGCGUCGAGCGGGGUGGAGAAGACGACGAUGGCCACCAGGACGUCGGAUGCCGUCUGGGCGUGGCGAGAGAGACUGCAGCAGGCCGAGGAGAGCGCGCGAGCGGCGUCGGCCCGCGCGAGGCAGCGACUGUCGCAGUCGCUGUCCCUGGCGAGCGCCAUGGCCCUGGCCACGAGCUCCCGGCAUGCGGCGCCGCCGUCUUCCCGCCGCGGAGGCGUCCAGGGCGGAGAUGGGCACGCAGGGCGUGGGCGUGCGCUCGUCCUCGCGGCCGCUGGCGACGCACAAGCCCUAGAUGAGCCGCCGUGUGGCGUCGUUGGGGACGAGGUCCUCGAGCCGCAGCGGCCGACCGGUGACAGGGCACGUGGAGCGGCCGCGAUUCAGCCAGGCCUAGUGGCUCUCCCGGUCAUACGUGAUCCCCGUCGGCGCCGCCAGGGGUUCCUCAUCAUCUCCAGCGAGCUCGAGCACAGCAACUGCGCCGGCACCUCCUGCCCGCAAGGUGUUCGACUGACGGUCCCGGCGGCUGGGCAUGCGCAUGUGGCCGGCGCUCAUGUGCGCUGUGUUCACGAAGCAGCUGCGGCUGUCCAGUAAGUCCCAGCGCGGCAUUCCGUGGGCGAGAUCGCCAACUACAUCGCUCGGCAAGCUCCCCUUCUGGCUGCACCUGGCGUGGAGCAUGCCGGUCCAGCUCACCCUCGCCAUCGCGCUCCCAGGGCUCGCCCCAUGGCCGCUUGCAGGCUAACGGGUCGGGUUCGACAGAGCUGACGUGUCUCCUGACAUGCGGGCCCACUGGUCAGGGUUUGGGCAAAACCACCUAAACAAGCGGUUUUCGGGUUAAGUGAGAAGGAUUGACGCAAAAAGUGUGGUUCUGCGGACGGUUUUGCGUUAAGUGUGGCUCCGUGAUAGAGCUGCCCCAAAAAGUGUGGUUUUAUGAAAUUUACUCAUUUUUUAACAACAACUUUGGCUGAAUCGCCAGAAGGGGAGCUUGCCGAGCGAUGUUUUCUUUGUCACUUUUUGAAGACCCUCCACCAAGUGAUUAGUUCAUCUGUAGCACACCUAAUAAAUUGCAUUUCUUGUCUCUAAUGGAGCUCCAUUUAUUUGAAACUGAAUGCCAAAGAUUACUUUUGUUGCUAGAGUUUGUUAUUUUCAGCAUGUUUUAAUUUUGUCUGCCUGGCAUGGCAUGUGACGAAUUUACAUGAGAAAAAAUAAAUCUAAACAUUGUUUUUUCUUGUCCACUAAAACCUUCAUUAUGACUUAUGAGGUAGCUAAGUAUAUUGUUUUCAGGAUUACAUUCUUUGCAUUUUACAAGAGACGUGGUUUUGGUUAUCGAUUGCUAGUUUAAAAGUGUUAUAAAGCAUCUACAAAAGUGAGCUAUAAAAUAUUUAUUGACAGUGAGUUGUUUUCUCAAGUUAUAUUUGUCGGUAACUGACCCACCGCAUCUUUUCUAUUAUCCAUUUGUGUUUUCCUUGGAACAUCCAUUUAACUGCUUGACUUUUUAUGCUUCUAGGCAUAGCCAAUGCUGGUGGAUGUGAUGGAUCUGAAAUGUUGGAUCAUGUAUAAGAAGGCUGUCUGGUUUGAUGUGCUGACAUCGUUUGACUGGUGAGGAAAAGCUGCAGGAGUUCUAUUUGAGUUUGUCACAUUGCAUCAAUGUGAUCGGCAUUCAGCAGUGUUUAUAUAUUAUCUGGAAAAGAAGACUUGCUAAGUGUGUACCUUAGUCUAGCUAAGUUUCUUAUGUGCCAGGAUGUACUUGGAUAGCUAAACCAGGAGUUCCGAAUUCCCCUAGUAAUGUUUCAAGUUGAUUUCCGCAGUACUUCAAUUGUUGUUCUGCUUCUGUUUAUCCUUUGGUUUAUGCUGAAACUCACGAAUGUGUUGCAAAUGGUAACUACCUGUCGGUAUGUCAAUAUCCGAAUAUCAUUUCCAUGUAUCUAUAUUACCAUGCAAAUACAUAUAUGGUCCAUGUGUCAUAGACACUUUUUUCCCCA